This 205-nucleotide long non-coding RNA is filed under the name Elaeis guineensis (African oil palm). RNAcentral's name for it is "long non-coding RNA (EGUI_LNC071715)". Lineage: Eukaryota; Viridiplantae; Streptophyta; Magnoliopsida; Arecales; Arecaceae. The record is from RNAcentral.
UCUAAUUAGCAAUAGAACUAAAGAUCAAAUCUCAAUUUAUCUGGAUUAAACCUUCAUGCCUAGAUAUGCAGACCCUUUACUUCACAUGCACGCUAGACGUCGCAGGAAAAUAGGAUGAACUCCAAUCUAAUUGCCUUCGCAAGCCAACCAAAUGAGGAAGAAGAUGUACUGGUGUGACACCUCACCAAAAUAUGGGAUACCCAAG